Molecule: transfer RNA, 75 nt
Filed under: Candidatus Buchananbacteria bacterium RIFCSPHIGHO2_01_FULL_39_14
Lineage: Bacteria; Candidatus Buchananiibacteriota
Description: tRNA-Cys
Rfam family: tRNA
About the family: Transfer RNA (tRNA) molecules are approximately 80 nucleotides in length.
Source: RNAcentral
AGCGCGAUGGUGAAAAAGCUAACACGACGGUCUGCAAAACCGUUAUUGCUGGUUCAAGUCCAGCUCGCGCCUCCA